RNAcentral lists this ribosomal RNA (677 nucleotides) under Escherichia coli. RNAcentral describes it as "partial 23S ribosomal RNA". It matches the Rfam family "Bacterial large subunit ribosomal RNA", at positions 2259 to 2925 of the family's 2925-position model. The record is from RNAcentral. Lineage: Bacteria; Pseudomonadati; Pseudomonadota; Gammaproteobacteria; Enterobacterales; Enterobacteriaceae.
UGGUGGGUAGUUUGACUGGGGCGGUCUCCUCCUAAAGAGUAACGGAGGAGCACGAAGGUUGGCUAAUCCUGGUCGGACAUCAGGAGGUUAGUGCAAUGGCAUAAGCCAGCUUGACUGCGAGCGUGACGGCGCGAGCAGGUGCGAAAGCAGGUCAUAGUGAUCCGGUGGUUCUGAAUGGAAGGGCCAUCGCUCAACGGAUAAAAGGUACUCCGGGGAUAACAGGCUGAUACCGCCCAAGAGUUCAUAUCGACGGCGGUGUUUGGCACCUCGAUGUCGGCUCAUCACAUCCUGGGGCUGAAGUAGGUCCCAAGGGUAUGGCUGUUCGCCAUUUAAAGUGGUACGCGAGCUGGGUUUAGAACGUCGUGAGACAGUUCGGUCCCUAUCUGCCGUGGGCGCUGGAGAACUGAGGGGGGCUGCUCCUAGUACGAGAGGACCGGAGUGGACGCAUCACUGGUGUUCGGGUUGUCAUGCCAAUGGCACUGCCCGGUAGCUAAAUGCGGAAGAGAUAAGUGCUGAAAGCAUCUAAGCACGAAACUUGCCCCGAGAUGAGUUCUCCCUGACUCCCUGAGAGUCCUGAAGGAACGUUGAAGACGACGACGUUGAUAGGCCGGGUGUGUAAGCGCAGCGAUGCGUUGAGCUAACCGGUACUAAUGAACCGUGAGGCUUAACCUUACAAC